RNAcentral lists this non-coding RNA (260 nucleotides) under Nicotiana attenuata. Lineage: Eukaryota; Viridiplantae; Streptophyta; Magnoliopsida; Solanales; Solanaceae. The record is from RNAcentral.
GCCGAGCUCAGUAGCGCGAGCUUGUUACCCAAGCGGGGGCAAUAAGAUGGUGAGAACAGUCAUGGUUCGCAACCUAUGACGGUGAAGGGUGCCACAAAUUUGGACCCUUACCCUUAUUGUAAAAUAAGGUAAGGACUGAAGAGUAUCUUUGGGCCUGCUGGCUUCACAGAGCAGUUGUUUGUGCCUUGCUAACCAGUUACGCUACCAGUCCAAGCCACCACUUCUAUGUCGGGGUAGUCAUUGGCUGAACCAUCACCUUU